UCCCUGCUUUUCUAGUGGUAAGGAUUUGGCGCUCUCACCGCCACAACCCGGGUUCGAUUCCUGGUCAGGGAA
Molecule: transfer RNA, 72 nt
Filed under: Ameiurus melas (black bullhead)
Lineage: Eukaryota; Metazoa; Chordata; Actinopteri; Siluriformes; Ictaluridae
Rfam family: tRNA
About the family: Transfer RNA (tRNA) molecules are approximately 80 nucleotides in length. Their secondary structure includes four short double-helical elements and three loops (D, anti-codon, and T loops).
Source: Rfam by way of RNAcentral